RNAcentral lists this ribosomal RNA (209 nucleotides) under uncultured bacterium. RNAcentral describes it as "partial 16S ribosomal RNA". It matches the Rfam family "Bacterial small subunit ribosomal RNA", at positions 568 to 776 of the family's 1533-position model. The record is from RNAcentral.
GGCGCAGGCGGUGCGGCAAGUCUGAUGUGAAAGCCCGGGGCUCAACCCCGGUACUGCAUUGGAAACUGUCGUACUAGAGUGUCGGAGGGGUAAGCGGAAUUCCUAGUGUAGCGGUGAAAUGCGUAGAUAUUAGGAGGAACACCAGUGGCGAAGGCGACUUACUGGACGGUAACUGACGUUGAGGCUCGAAAGCGUGGGGAGGCAAAACA